CGCGGAGGAAUAUAGCCAUUCCACACAUCACUUACUAGUGAUCAAUGCACAAGUGUAUAAAGGGCGAGAUUUGGUGUGGCUUCACACCCCUUUGCCCUCAAAACAUCUUCAACUGUACAACAUUCACAAGCAUCGUCUACCAUGUCAGGCAAAAAGGAACCAGAAGAGAAGAUAGAGCAAAAGAGUCAGCCGCAGUUAUAUUCAGUUUCUGUGUCCCCACAUACUACGGCAACUCACACUGUCGAGCCCCAGGAAAAAGACAACGGAUCUAAAAAAGGUUCGAAAUCUGAUGACUCGAACAACUCGAACUCAAACAGCAGCAAUGGAACAAAGGGGAAUAGUAAGAAGUAAAGAUUUAUGAUGGACUCGAAGAAAACCUUUGGUUCGCGUCGCAUGGCAAUAGCCUGAGUCCUCUGCAAUGUUUCCAUCUCAUCAGCAAUUUGCCAGUCAGUGUUAAGAUGUACCAGUCAGCACUUCUCGACUUCGAGGAUUUGUUUUCCGUCAAUCGUCAUCUUCAUACUCCAAUAAUACAAUCAAUUACGCUGUUACUGUAACAAAAUGCACAUCAUAAAAACAGUUUAUUUUGUGAAUCGCCGGCGUACAUUUCACAUUUAUAACAGUAUUUUAUUCCAAUUGAAGUUAUGUACAUUUAGUGGGUGCUCCUUGAAAUAACUAAAAAUAAACUAACUAACUAAACACUCAUAACUAACGAAAAAAAAAAAUGCAACUUUUACAAAACUUCUGUUCGAAACCCCAGUUUGUAAAUACACAUGUGCGAACAUUUUGCGUUGUUUUGUGUCCAUUAAUUUUCAAAUUUUAAUUUUCAAUUCCAGAAGAAAACAAAGUGUUAUCUGGUUUUAUAAAUACAAUUCAAUUGAAACAC
Molecule: long non-coding RNA, 883 nt
Organism: Patiria miniata (bat star)
Lineage: Eukaryota; Metazoa; Echinodermata; Asteroidea; Valvatida; Asterinidae
Exons: 3
Source: RefSeq, a predicted model, not a curated record